GAUGAACGCUGGCGGCGUGCCUAAUACAUGCAAGUCGAGCGAACGGACGAGAAGCUUGCUUCUCUGAUGUUAGCGGCGGACGGGUGAGUAACACGUGGAUAACCUACCUAUAAGACUGGGAUAACUUCGGGAAACCGGAGCUAAUACCGGAUAAUAUUUUGAACCGCAUGGUUCAAAAGUGAAAGACGGUCUUGCUGUCACUUAUAGAUGGAUCCGCGCUGCAUUAGCUAGUUGGUAAGGUAACGGCUUACCAAGGCAACGAUGCAUAGCCGACCUGAGAGGGUGAUCGGCCACACUGGAACUGAGACACGGUCCAGACUCCUACGGGAGGCAGCAGUAGGGAAUCUUCCGCAAUGGGCGAAAGCCUGACGGAGCAACGCCGCGUGAGUGAUGAAGGUCUUCGGAUCGUAAAACUCUGUUAUUAGGGAAGAACAUAUGUGUAAGUAACUGUGCACAUCUUGACGGUACCUAAUCAGAAAGCCACGGCUAACUACGUGCCAGCAGCCGCGGUAAUACGUAGGUGGCAAGCGUUAUCCGGAAUUAUUGGGCGUAAAGCGCGCGUAGGCGGUUUUUUAAGUCUGAUGUGAAAGCCCACGGCUCAACCGUGGAGGGUCAUUGGAAACUGGAAAACUUGAGUGCAGAAGAGGAAAGUGGGAUUCCAUGUGUAGCGGUGAAAUGCGCAGAGAUAUGGAGGAACACCAGUGGCGAAGGCGACUUUCUGGUCUGUAACUGACGCUGAUGUGCGAAAGCGUGGGGAUCAAACAGGAUUAGAUACCCUGGUAGUCCACGCCGUAAACGAUGAGUGCUAAGUGUUAGGGGGUUUCCGCCCCUUAGUGCUGCAGCUAACGCAUUAAGCACUCCGCCUGGGGAGUACGACCGCAAGGUUGAAACUCAAAGGAAUUGACGGGGACCCGCACAAGCGGUGGAGCAUGUGGUUUAAUUCGAAGCAACGCGAAGAACCUUACCAAAUCUUGACAUCCUUUGACAACUCUAGAGAUAGAGCUUUCCCCUUCGGGGGACAAAGUGACAGGUGGUGCAUGGUUGUCGUCAGCUCGUGUCGUGAGAUGUUGGGUUAAGUCCCGCAACGAGCGCAACCCUUAAGCUUAGUUGCCAUCAUUAAGUUGGGCACUCUAAGUUGACUGCCGGUGACAAACCGGAGGAAGGUGGGGAUGACGUCAAAUCAUCAUGCCCCUUAUGAUUUGGGCUACACACGUGCUACAAUGGACAAUACAAAGGGCAGCGAAACCGUGAGGUCAAGCAAAUCCCAUAAAGUUGUUCUCAGUUCGGAUUGUAGUCUGCAACUCGACUACAUGAAGCUGGAAUCGCUAGUAAUCGUAGAUCAGCAUGCUACGGUGAAUACGUUCCCGGGUCU
This 1372-nucleotide ribosomal RNA is filed under the name uncultured bacterium. Its description in RNAcentral is "bacterial SSU rRNA". It matches the Rfam family "Bacterial small subunit ribosomal RNA", at positions 28 to 1381 of the family's 1533-position model. The record is from RNAcentral.